UACGUAGGGGGCAAGCGUUGUCCGGAUUUAUUGGGCGUAAAGAGCGCGUAGGCGGCCAGGUAGGUCUGGUGUGAAAACUCGAGGCUUAACCUCGAGAUGUCAUCGGAAACCAUCUGGCUAGAGUCCGGAAGAGGAGAGUGGAAUUCCUGGUGUAGCGGUGAAAUGCGCAGAUAUCAGGAAGAACACCAAUGGCGAAAGCAGCUCUCUGGGACGGUACUGACGCUGAGACGCGAAAGCAUGGGGAGCGAACAGG
RNAcentral lists this ribosomal RNA (253 nucleotides) under uncultured bacterium. Its description in RNAcentral is "partial 16S ribosomal RNA". It matches the Rfam family "Bacterial small subunit ribosomal RNA", at positions 524 to 776 of the family's 1533-position model. The record is from RNAcentral.